GACGAACGCUGGCGGCGUGCAUAACACAUGCAAGUCAAGGGGGUCGAGUAGCAAUACUGGCAACCGGCGAACGGGUGCGUAACACGUAAGCGACCUACCUCAAUGUGGGGCGAUAGCCGGCCUAACGGCCGGGUAAGUUCCGCAUGUGAUCUUGGAGGGGCGAUCUCUCCGGGAUGAAACCAGUAAUGGGCAUUGAGAGGGGCGUUGCGGCCUAUCAGCUUGUUGGUGAGGUAACGGCUCACCAAGGCUACGACGGGUAGCUGGUCUGAGAGGACGACCAGUCACACUGGAACUGAGACACGGUCCAGACACCUACGGGUGGCAGCAGUCGAG
This 333-nucleotide ribosomal RNA is filed under the name uncultured bacterium. RNAcentral describes it as "bacterial SSU rRNA". It matches the Rfam family "Bacterial small subunit ribosomal RNA", at positions 28 to 359 of the family's 1533-position model. The record is from RNAcentral.